Non-coding RNA from Pelobates cultripes (western spadefoot toad), 254 nucleotides. NCBI's taxonomy places the organism in Eukaryota, Metazoa, Chordata, Amphibia, Anura, Pelobatidae. The record is from the annotation of a GenBank genome assembly.
GUAGAUUUGUUUGAGUGUGUUGUACCCCAGAUAGGAAUCCCAUGGAGCCCAUUCGCAUGAAACUGACUGUGUAAAGACUUUGGCUUCAUGGCGUUUAAACUGUAUUCAUGUGGUCUGAGCGCCAUUCGCUUAAUAAUGUGCGCUCAGACCUGAGCUAUCUGGGGAUAUGUAGAACGUAUAUGUUUUAUGUACUGAAUGUAACUGUAGGUAAUUUUAUGUCUUUUACUGUUUGUUUUCUGCCAUGUGGUUAAUGG